RNAcentral lists this ribosomal RNA (226 nucleotides) under uncultured bacterium. Its description in RNAcentral is "partial 16S ribosomal RNA". The record is from RNAcentral.
CGCUCAGUGGCGACGGGUGAGUAAUGUCUGGGAAACUGCCUGAUGGAGGGGGAUAACUCACUGGAAACGGUAGCUAAUACCGCAUACGUCGCAAGACCAAAGAGGGGGACCCUCGGGCCUCUUGCCAUCGGAUGUGCCCAAUGUGGAUUAUGCUAUAUAUAAGUUGUGGGUAACGNGCGUCACCCUAUAGCGAACAGAUACCCCUANACUGGGUCUGAGAGGAGUA